Molecule: transfer RNA, 73 nt
Filed under: Camelus ferus (Wild Bactrian camel)
Lineage: Eukaryota; Metazoa; Chordata; Mammalia; Artiodactyla; Camelidae
Rfam family: tRNA
About the family: Transfer RNA (tRNA) molecules are approximately 80 nucleotides in length. Their secondary structure includes four short double-helical elements and three loops (D, anti-codon, and T loops). Further hydrogen bonds mediate the characteristic L-shaped molecular structure. tRNAs have two regions of fundamental functional importance: the anti-codon, which is responsible for specific mRNA codon recognition, and the 3' end, to which the tRNAs corresponding amino acid is attached (by aminoacyl-tRNA synthetases). tRNAs cope with the degeneracy of the genetic code in two manners: having more than one tRNA (with a specific anti-codon) for a particular amino acid; and 'wobble' base-pairing, i.e. permitting non-standard base-pairing at the 3rd anti-codon position.
Source: Rfam by way of RNAcentral
GAGGGUAUAGCUCAAGUGGUAGGGUGCAUGUUUAGCACACACAGUGUCCUGGGUUCAAUCCCCAGUGCCGUCC